Molecule: ribosomal RNA, 253 nt
Filed under: uncultured bacterium
Lineage: Bacteria
Description: partial 16S ribosomal RNA
Rfam family: Bacterial small subunit ribosomal RNA
Source: RNAcentral
UACGUAGGGAGCUAGCGUUGUCCGGAAUCAUUGGGCGUAAAGAGCGUGUAGGCGGCCAAGCAGGUCCGUUGUGAAAACUGGAGGCUUAACCUCCAGACGUCGACGGAAACCGCGUGGCUAGAGUCCGGAAGAGGAGAGUGGAAUUCCUGGUGUAGCGGUGAAAUGCGCAGAUAUCAGGAAGAACACCAAUGGCGAAGGCAGCUCUCUGGGACGGUACUGACGCUGAGACGCGAAAGCGUGGGGAGCAAACAGG